GUGGGGUCGUGGUUCCUGCGGUCCUGGACUUGGCCCCAGACAGCCGGGUAACAAAUGACUGCCCCCUCGAGCCCACCGCCACCUCCAGGACUAUGCUCCUACUCGUGUCCCUUGAGCCACCCGGGCCCCAGUGACCGUUAGGCCGUGGCCCUCACCGAGCUUUUCUUCCCAGCAGGGUCGUGGCCAGGACGCCGGCCGGGACCAUCUGCACAGGCGCUCGACAGCUCCAGGACGCUGCGGCCAAGCAGAAAGUUGAACAGAACGCGGCUCCCAGCCACACCAAGUUCAGCAUUUACCCUCCCAUUCCAGGAGAGGAGAGCUCUCUGAGGUGGGCAGGAAAGAAAUUUGAGGAGAUCCCAAUCGCACACAUUAAAGCAUCCCACAACAACACACAGAUCCAGGUAGUCUCUGCUAGUAAUGAGCCCCUUGCCUUUGCUUCCUGUGGCACAGAGGGAUUUCGGAAUGCCAAGAAGGGCACAGGCAUCGCAGCACAGACAGCAGGCAUAGCCGCAGCGGCGAGAGCUAAACAAAAGGGCGUGAUCCACAUCCGAGUUGUGGUGAAAGGCCUGGGGCCAGGACGCUUGUCUGCCAUGCACGGACUGAUCAUGGGCGGCCUGGAAGUGAUCUCAAUCACAGACAACACCCCAAUCCCACACAAUGGAUGUCGUCCCAGGAAGGCUCGGAAGCUGUGAUGGGAAGGAAGCCUGCACUUGGUCCUGACCUCAAGCCUCAGCUCCAGUGGGACCUUGUAAAAUGCUCCCUGUCAGAGCUCUCCAGAAUAUGCUUGUUGGAGAUCCUUCAGGCAGUAAGGGAGAGUUUUGCCUCCUUACACAGUGGCCUUUGCUUGCACCUCCAGCUGGAGAUGGGUGUGCCCCAGAAGUAAGCUUUGCAUCUCACAAGAGGGGAGCUACAGGGG
This 916-nucleotide small RNA is filed under the name Pan troglodytes (chimpanzee). RNAcentral describes it as "retained intron". Lineage: Eukaryota; Metazoa; Chordata; Mammalia; Primates; Hominidae. The record is from RNAcentral.